Molecule: ribosomal RNA, 331 nt
Filed under: uncultured Paenibacillus sp.
Lineage: Bacteria; Bacillati; Bacillota; Bacilli; Caryophanales; Paenibacillaceae
Description: bacterial SSU rRNA
Rfam family: Bacterial small subunit ribosomal RNA
Source: RNAcentral
GAGUACACGUGGGAACGUGCCCUUUGGUUCGGAACAACCCAGGGAAACUUGGGCUAAUACCGGAUAAGCCCUUACGGGGAAAGAUUUAUCGCCGGAGGAUCGGCCCGCGUCUGAUUAGCUAGUUGGUGGGGUAAUGGCCCACCAAGGCGACGAUCAGUAGCUGGUCUGAGAGGAUGAUCAGCCUCACUGGGACUGAGACACGGGCCAGACUCCUACGGGAGGCAGCAGUGGGGAAUAUUGGACAAUGGGCGCAAGCCUGAUCCAGACAUGACGCGUGGGUGAUUGAAGGCCCUAGGGUCGCAAAGCCCUUUCGGCGGGGAAGAUAAUGACG